AACGAACGCUGGCGGCAGGCUUAACACAUGCAAGUCGAGCGCCCCGCAAGGGGAGCGGCAGACGGGUGCGUAACGCGUGGGAACGUACCUUUUGGUUCGGAACAACUCCGGGAAACUGGAGCUAAUACCGGAUAAGCCCUAACGGGGAAAGAUUUAUCGCCGAAAGAUCGGCCCGCGUCUGAUUAGCUAGUUGGUGAGGUAACGGCUCACCAAGGCGACGAUCAGUAGCUGGUCUGAGAGGAUGAUCAGCCACACUGGGACUGAGACACGGCCCAGACUCCUACGGGAGGCAGCAGUGGGGAAUAUUGGACAAUGGGCGCAAGCCUGAUCCAGCCAUGCCGCGUGAGUGAUGAAGGCCUUAGGGUUGUAAAGCUCUUUUGUCCGGGAAGAUAAUGACUGUACCGGAAGAGUAAGCCCCGGCUAACUUCGUG
RNAcentral lists this ribosomal RNA (431 nucleotides) under uncultured bacterium. RNAcentral describes it as "partial 16S ribosomal RNA". It matches the Rfam family "Bacterial small subunit ribosomal RNA", at positions 29 to 507 of the family's 1533-position model. The record is from RNAcentral.